This 465-nucleotide ribosomal RNA is filed under the name Vreelandella stevensii. RNAcentral's name for it is "partial 16S ribosomal RNA". It matches the Rfam family "Bacterial small subunit ribosomal RNA", at positions 338 to 795 of the family's 1533-position model. The record is from RNAcentral. Lineage: Bacteria; Pseudomonadati; Pseudomonadota; Gammaproteobacteria; Oceanospirillales; Halomonadaceae.
CCUACGUGAGGCAGCAGUGGGGAAUAUUGGACAAUGGGGGCAACCCUGAUCCAGCCAUGCCGCGUGUGUGAAGAAGGCCCUCGGGUUGUAAAGCACUUUCAGUGAGGAAGAACGCCUGGUGGUUAAUACCCAUCAGGAAAGACAUCACUCACAGAAGAAGCACCGGCUAACUCCGUGCCAGCAGCCGCGGUAAUACGGAGGGUGCGAGCGUUAAUCGGAAUUACUGGGCGUAAAGCGCGCGUAGGUGGCUUGAUAAGCCGGUUGUGAAAGCCCCGGGCUCAACCUGGGAACGGCAUCCGGAACUGGCAAGCUAGAGUGCAGGAGAGGAAGGUAGAAUUGCCGGUGUAGCGGUGAAAUGCGUAGAGAUCGGGAGGAAUACCAGUGGCGAAGGCGGCCUUCUGGACUGACACUGACACUGAGGUGCGAAAGCGUGGGUAGCAAACAGGAUUAGAUACCCGGGUAGUC